This 221-nucleotide long non-coding RNA is filed under the name Lathyrus oleraceus (garden pea). Its description in RNAcentral is "Pisum sativum (pea) long non-coding RNA (PSAT_LNC000721)". The record is from RNAcentral. Lineage: Eukaryota; Viridiplantae; Streptophyta; Magnoliopsida; Fabales; Fabaceae.
UCGCUGGAUGCUCGCCUAGCAAAUACUUCGCUACUUCCCUCGCCACAUCGAGUUUUGAUCUUUUUGCUACUGUCCAAGUCUGGGAGUGUUUGCUGGCAUCUCGCUGCGUGAUCGCCUAGCGAAUACUUCGCUACCUCACUCGCCUAGAGAGCUUGCUAAGGUUUGCUUUCUUUCUUGGUUCCUUUUCCAUCUUUCUUGUGCCUUAGUUUUCUACUCUUUCA